AUUGAUUGGUGCUUGCAUCAUGAUUUACAUUUGAGUGAGUGGCGAACUGGUGAGUAACACGUGGGAAACCUGCCCAGAAGCGGGGGAUAACACCUGGAAACAGAUGCUAAUACCGCAUAACAACUUGGACCGCAUGGUCCGAGUUUGAAAGAUGGCUUCGGCUAUCACUUUUGGAUGGUCCCGCGGCGUAUUAGCUAGAUGGUGGGGUAACGGCUCACCAUGGCAAUGAUACGUAGCCGACCUGAGAGGGUAAUCGGCCACAUUGGGACUGAGACACGGCCCAAACUCCUACGGGAGGCAGCAGUAGGGAAUCUUCCACAAUGGACGAAAGUCUGAUGGAGCAACGCCGCGUGAGUGAAGAAGGGUUUCGGCUCGUAAAACUCUGUUGUUAAAGAAGAACAUAUCUGAGAGUAACUGUUCAGGUAUUGACGGUAUUUAACCAGAAAGCCACGGCUAACUACGUGCCAGCAGCCGCGGUAAUACGUAGGUGGCAAGCGUUGUCCGGAUUUAUUGGGCGUAAAGCGAGCGCAGGCGGUUUUUUAAGUCUGAUGUGAAAGCCUUCGGCUCAACCGAAGAAGUGCAUCGGAAACUGGGAAACUUGAGUGCAGAAGAGGACAGUGGAACUCCAUGUGUAGCGGUGAAAUGCGUAGAUAUAUGGAAGAACACCAGUGGCGAAGGCGGCUGUCUGGUCUGUAACUGACGCUGAGGCUCGAAAGUAUGGGUAGCAAACAGGAUUAGAUACCCUGGUAGUCCAUACCGUAAACGAUGAAUGCUAAGUGUUGGAGGGUUUCCGCCCUUCAGUGCUGCAGCUAACGCAUUAAGCAUUCCGCCUGGGGAGUACGGCCGCAAGGCUGAAACUCAAAGGAAUUUGACGGGGGCCCGCACAAGCGGUGGAGCAUGUGGUUUAAUUCGAAGCUACGC
This 921-nucleotide ribosomal RNA is filed under the name Lactiplantibacillus plantarum. RNAcentral's name for it is "bacterial SSU rRNA". It matches the Rfam family "Bacterial small subunit ribosomal RNA", at positions 69 to 962 of the family's 1533-position model. The record is from RNAcentral. Lineage: Bacteria; Bacillati; Bacillota; Bacilli; Lactobacillales; Lactobacillaceae.